This 31-nucleotide non-coding RNA is filed under the name Mus musculus (house mouse). Lineage: Eukaryota; Metazoa; Chordata; Mammalia; Rodentia; Muridae. The record is from RNAcentral.
UAUUGGAAAGAAAAACUCAUGGAAUUAUGGC